Molecule: ribosomal RNA, 165 nt
Filed under: uncultured Fastidiosipila sp.
Lineage: Bacteria; Bacillati; Bacillota; Clostridia; Eubacteriales; Oscillospiraceae
Description: partial 16S ribosomal RNA
Rfam family: Bacterial small subunit ribosomal RNA
Source: RNAcentral
ACACGCUACAAUGGUCAAGCACGAAUAGGUAGCCAAGCCGCGAGGUGGAGCCAAUCCUCAAAGCUGGCCUCAGUUCAGAUCGCAGGCUGCAACCCGCCUGCGUGAAGCCGGAGUUGCUAGUAACCGCAGGUCAGCUAUACUGCGGUGAAUACGUUCCCGGGGCUU